RNAcentral lists this ribosomal RNA (549 nucleotides) under Penaeus subtilis (southern brown shrimp). RNAcentral describes it as "partial 16S ribosomal RNA". It matches the Rfam family "Bacterial large subunit ribosomal RNA", at positions 1807 to 2615 of the family's 2925-position model. Lineage: Eukaryota; Metazoa; Arthropoda; Malacostraca; Decapoda; Penaeidae. The record is from RNAcentral.
UCAAAAACAUGUCUAUAUGAUUGUUAUAUAAAGUCUGGCCUGCCCACUGAUUUAUUUUUUAAAGGGCCGCGGUAUACUGACCGUGCGAAGGUAGCAUAAUCACUAGUCUUUUAAUUGGAGGCUUGUAUGAAUGGUUGGACAAGAAGCAAGCUGUCUCAGUUGUAAUAAUUGAAAUUAACUUUUAAGUGAAAAGGCUUAAAUAAAUUAAGGGGACGAUAAGACCCUAUAAAGCUUAACAAUAAGUUGUCUAUAUUAUAAAUUGUUAGUAUAACUUGAUAUCAGACGGCGUUUGUUGCGUUGGGGCGACGAGAAUAUAAGAGGUAACUGUUUUUAGAUUAUUUAAUAACAGAAAUAUCUGGAAAUUUAAUGAUCCUUUUUUAGAGAUCAUAAGAUUAAGUUACUUUAGGGAUAACAGCGUAAUCUUCCUUGAGAGUUCAUAUCGACAGGAAGGGUUGCGACCUCGAUGUUGAAUUAAGGUAUCCUUAUGAUGCAGCAGUUAUAAAGGAAGGUCUGUUCGACCUUUAAAUCCUUACGUGAUCUGAGUUCAGA